RNAcentral lists this ribosomal RNA (490 nucleotides) under uncultured bacterium. RNAcentral's name for it is "partial 16S ribosomal RNA". It matches the Rfam family "Bacterial small subunit ribosomal RNA", at positions 30 to 507 of the family's 1533-position model. The record is from RNAcentral.
AUUGAACGCUGGCGGCAGGCCUAACACAUGCAAGUCGAACGGUAACAGGAAGAAGCUUGCUUCUUUGCUGACGAGUGGCGGACGGGUGAGUAAUGUCUGGGAAACUGCCUGAUGGAGGGGGAUAACUACUGGAAACGGUAGCUAAUACCGCAUAACGUUGCAAGACCAAAGAGGGGGACCUUCGGGCCUCUUGCCAUCGGAUGUGCCCAGAUGGGAUUAGCUAGUAGGUGGGGUAACGGCUCACCUAGGCGACGAUCCCUAGCUGGUCUGAGAGGAUGACCAGCCACACUGGAACUGAGACACGGUCCAGACUCCUACGGGAGGCAGCAGUGGGGAAUAUUGCACAAUGGGCGCAAGCCUGAUGCAGCCAUGCCGCGUGUAUGAAGAAGGCCUUCGGGUUGUAAAGUACUUUCAGCGGGGAGGAAGGGAGUAAAGUUAAUACCUUUGCUCAUUGACGUUACCCGCAGAAGAAGCACCGGCUAACUCCGUG